Molecule: long non-coding RNA, 739 nt
Organism: Rhododendron vialii
Lineage: Eukaryota; Viridiplantae; Streptophyta; Magnoliopsida; Ericales; Ericaceae
Exons: 2
Source: RefSeq, a predicted model, not a curated record
UCUCUCUCAAAGAAUGGAAACCCCCUCUUUCCAUCGACUCUCCUCCGAGGGUUGUUACCAACGUUCAACCUUUCCGCUGUGGUUCAAGCUUCAAGUUUCAAGCAACCAGAUUUUCAGAUUCCGGCGAGCUACAACCUUUUCAGGCGACUCAGUUCCAUCAUCCACUUGCAGGAAUCCCAAUUAAAGACAUAGCAAAGUUUUGAAGGAUGGGAUUAUGGGGCUGUGGGGUGCUAGUUUGGGUUGUGGCAAGCAGAGAGCUAUUUUGAAGUGUAGUUUAGGUGAGGCAAAUGCUAUUCGGAGGCUAGUUGUGGAUGGGGCGUGGGAUAAAAAGUCUUGGGAAGGUGCGGUUGCGUGGUGUUCGGUUGGUGACGGAGAAGAAGAAGUCCGGAAUGAAGGAUGAAGAGAUGUUUUUGCAAGCUCGGCUCUCAUGGCGGAGGCUCUCGCCGUUUGGUAUGCGCUAGCUUGGGCUUUUGACAGGAGAUGGUUGUCUGUGGAAAUUUGCUCGGACUGUUUGGUUUUGGUGCAAGGUUUUCAGAAGGAUAAUGGAAUCCAUGCUUUGGUUAGAGUUAUUUUUGUCUGAUAUUGUUCAUUUGGCUUGUAAUUUUAAUUAUGUUGUUGUUUCUAAGGUUUCAAGGACUGAGGUUAGAACAGCCCAUGCUCUAGCUAAAGAUGUAAAUUAUCAAGUUUAGUGUUAUUAAAGUUAUGUUUGUGGUUUGAUCAAAAAAAAAGAAAAAAGAAG